Molecule: non-coding RNA, 879 nt
Filed under: Pristimantis gryllus (Andean cricket frog)
Lineage: Eukaryota; Metazoa; Chordata; Amphibia; Anura; Strabomantidae
Description: 12S ribosomal RNA
Rfam family: Bacterial small subunit ribosomal RNA
Source: RNAcentral
UGGUCCUAGCCUUGAAAUCAGUUUUUAUUUGACUUACACAUGCAAGUCUCCGCACACCCGUGAAAACGCCCUGCCACCCACCUAGGGUUAAGGAGCUGUUAUCAGGCACAAAUUAGCCCAAAACACCUAGCCUCGCCACACCCAUAAGGGUUCUCAGCAGUGAUCAACAUUAAAAAUAAACGUAAGUUCGAUUUAGCCAAAUUAAUAUAGAGCCGGCCAAUCUGGUGCCAGCCGCCGCGGUCACACCAUAUGGCUCAAAUUGAUUUCGGCGUAAAGUGUGAUUAAAGUCUGGGGUCAAAAUUAAAUUAAUCUGUCGCACGAUUAUUCUUAAGAAGUCCAAUCUCGAAAGAUACCCCAACUCAUCAACUUGAAUUCACAACAACUGGGACACAAACUGGGAUUAGAUACCCCACUAUGCCUAGUCGUAAACUUUUACUUACACCUCGCCAGGGAACUACGAGCAAAGCUUAAAACCCAAAGGACUUGACGGUACCCCAUAUCCCUCUAGAGGAGCCUGUCCUAUAAUCGAUACUCCACGUUUAACCUCACCAUUUUUAGCUAAUCAGUCUGUAUACUUCCGUCGUCAGCUUACCGCGUGAGCGAACAGUAAGCUCAAUGUCAUCAAUACGUCAGGUCAAAGUGCAGCACAUAAAAUGGAAAGAGAUGGGCUACACUUUCUACCUUAGAAAAAUACGAAAGAUUAUGUGAAACCAUACUCAGAAGGUGGAUUUAAUAGUAAGAGGAGCUAGAAUACUCCUCCUAACCUGGCACUGGGGUGUGUACACACCGCCCGUCACCCUCUUCAACAACUUUAAUCAGUUUAUAACAAGAAGAGGCAAGUCGUAACAUGGUAAGUAUACCGGAAGGUGUGCUUGGAAA